Molecule: ribosomal RNA, 383 nt
Filed under: Stevenia sp. n. 8b AT-2015
Lineage: Eukaryota; Metazoa; Arthropoda; Insecta; Diptera; Rhinophoridae
Description: partial 16S ribosomal RNA
Source: RNAcentral
UCGAAGGUAGCAUAAUCAGUAGUCUUUUAAUUGAAGGCUGGUAUGAAUGGUUGGACGAAGUAUUAACUGUUUCAAAAUAAAUUAAAAUAAAAUUUUAUUUUUUAGUAAAAAAGCUAAAAUUUAUUUAAAAGACGAGAAGACCCUAUAAAUCUUUAUAUAAUUAUAUGUUAUAAUUUUUUAGAUUUAUUUUAUUAUAAUAAUUAAUUAUAUUUUAUUGGGGUGAUAUUAAAAUUUAUUAAACUUUUAAUUAUUAAAAUCAUUAAUUUUUGAUUAAUUGAUCCGUUAUUAACGAUUAAAAAAUUAAGUUACUUUAGGGAUAACAGCGUAAUUUUUUUGGAGAGUUCAUAUCGAUAAAAAAGAUUGCGACCUCGAUGUUGGAUUAA